RNAcentral lists this ribosomal RNA (301 nucleotides) under uncultured bacterium. Its description in RNAcentral is "partial 16S ribosomal RNA". It matches the Rfam family "Bacterial small subunit ribosomal RNA", at positions 509 to 807 of the family's 1533-position model. The record is from RNAcentral.
CAGCCGCCACGGUAAUACGAAGGGUGCAAGCGUUAAUCGGAAUUACUGGGCGUAAAGCGUGCGUAGGCGGUUUGUUAAGUCUGCUGUGAAAUCCCCGGGCUCAACCUGGGAAUGGCAGUGGAUACUGGCAAGCUAGAGUGUGUCAGAGGAUGGUGGAAUUCCCGGUGUAGCGGUGAAAUGCGUAGAGAUCGGGAGGAACAUCAGUGGCGAAGGCGGCCAUCUGGGACAACACUGACGCUGAGGCACGAAAGCGUGGGGAGCAAACAGGAUUAGAGACCCGCGUAGUCCCUGUCUCUUAUAC